This 483-nucleotide ribosomal RNA is filed under the name uncultured Anaeroplasma sp. Its description in RNAcentral is "partial 16S ribosomal RNA". Lineage: Bacteria; Bacillati; Mycoplasmatota; Mollicutes; Anaeroplasmatales; Anaeroplasmataceae. The record is from RNAcentral.
CACGUAGUUAGCCGGAGCUUAUUCCUCAGGUACCGUCAAAUUCCUCCUUCUUCCCUGAUAAAAGAACUUUACAUUACGAAUAACUUCUUCGUUCACGCGGCGUUGCUCGGUCAGGGUUCCCCCCAUUGCCGAAAAUUCCCUACUGCUGCCUCCCGUAGGAGUAUGGACCGUUCUCAGUUCCAUUGUGGCCGUUCAACCUCUCAGUCCGGCUACGCAUCAUCGCCUUGGUAGGCCCUUACCCCACCAACUAGCUAAUGCGCCACAGGCCCCUCCUUAAGCAGAUCUCUCUUUUAAAUAUAAAAGAUUCUUCCUCUAUAUCCUAUCCAGUUUUAUCCAUCGUUUCCAAUGGCUAUCCUCGUCUUAAGGGUAGGUUACCUAUGUAUUACUCACCCGUUCGCCACUAAAGUACCCGAAGGUACUUCCGUUCGACUUGCAUGUAUUAGGCACGCCGCCAGCGUUAAUCCUGAGCCAGGAUCAAACUCU